RNAcentral lists this ribosomal RNA (262 nucleotides) under uncultured bacterium. Its description in RNAcentral is "partial 16S ribosomal RNA". The record is from RNAcentral.
CUGCUGCCUUCCGUAGGAGUUUGGGCCGUGUCUCAGUCCCAGUGUGGCCGGCCACCCUCUCAGGCCGGCUACCCAUCGUCGCCUUGGUAGGCCAUUACCCUACCAACUAGCUAAUGGGACGCGAGUCCAUCUUUCAGCGUCAGGUCUCCCCAACUUUUCCUAUAUAAACAUGCACUUAUAUAACUCAUCCGGCAUUAGCUCACCUUUCGGUAAGUUGUUCCAGUCUAAAAGGCGGGUCACUCACGUGUUACUCACCCGUGCG